GUGAGGAAUAUUGCGCAAUGGAGGCAACUCUGACGCAGCCAUGCCGCGUGCAGGAAGAAGGCGCUACGCGUUGUAAACUGCUUUUAACCGGGAAGAAACCCCAGGACGUGUCCUGGGUUGACGGUACCGGAGGAAUAAGCACCGGCUAACUUCGUGCCAGCAGCCGCGGUAAUACGAAGGGUGCAAGCGUUACCCGGAUUCAUUGGGUUUAAAGGGUGCGUAGGCGGAGCGUUAAGUCAGUGGUGAAAUCCUGCAGCUUAACUGUAGACGUGCCAUUGAUACUGGCGCUCUUGAGUGCGCUUGAAGUGGGCGGAAUGUGCCGUGUAGCGGUGAAAUGCUUAGAUAUGGCACAGAACACCAAUUGCGAAGGCAGCUCACUAAGGCGAUACUGACGCUGAGGCACGAAAGCGUGGGGAUCGAACAGGAUUAGAAACCCGUGUAGUCC
This 445-nucleotide ribosomal RNA is filed under the name uncultured bacterium. Its description in RNAcentral is "partial 16S ribosomal RNA". It matches the Rfam family "Bacterial small subunit ribosomal RNA", at positions 354 to 796 of the family's 1533-position model. The record is from RNAcentral.